Molecule: long non-coding RNA, 138 nt
Organism: Etheostoma cragini (Arkansas darter)
Lineage: Eukaryota; Metazoa; Chordata; Actinopteri; Perciformes; Percidae
Exons: 3
Source: RefSeq, a predicted model, not a curated record
UUUUCUCAGAGAAAUGCUUAACUCCAAGUCAUCCAGAGUCGUGGCCAAAGCCGAUUCAAAAGACCGCUGUUUGCCGGCAGCAGCGGCCAUCUUCUUUGUUUUCAAGUAGCAGGGAAGUCACACCGAACCGUCGCAACU